Molecule: ribosomal RNA, 604 nt
Filed under: Dryophiops rubescens
Lineage: Eukaryota; Metazoa; Chordata; Lepidosauria; Squamata; Colubridae
Description: partial 16S ribosomal RNA
Rfam family: Bacterial large subunit ribosomal RNA
Source: RNAcentral
ACGCCUGCCCAGUGAACAAUUAAACGGCCGCGGUACCCUAACCGUGCAAAGGUAGCAUAAUCAUUUGUCUACUAAUUAUAGACCUGUAUGAAAGGCAAAAUGAGGGUCUAACUGUCUCUUAUAGUAAAUCAAUUAAACUGAUCCCCCAGUAAAAAAGCUGGGAUUACCACAUAAGACCAGAAGACCCUGUGAAGCUUAAACUAAACUAUUAAACCCCAUAAUAAUUACUUUCGGUUGGGGCGACCUUGGAAAAAAAGAGAACUUCCAAAAAUGACUUAUCGUUACAAAAGGCCAACAAGCCAAUAAAGACCCAGCAAUGCUGAAAAUCGAACCAAGUUACUCCAGGGAUAACAGCGCAAUCUUCUUCAAGAGCCCAUAUCAAAAAGAAGGUUUACGACCUCGAUGUUGGAUCAGGACAUCCUGGUGGUGCAGCAGCUACCAAGGGUUCGUUUGUUCAACGAUUAAUAGUCCUACGUGAUCUGAGUUAGAACCGGAACUAAUCGUUAAACAAACAAACCUUGGUAGCUGCUGCACCACCAGGAUGUCCUGAUCCAACAUUGAGGUCGUAAACCUUCUUUUUGAUAUGGGCUCUUGAAGAARAUUG